GGGGCUAUAGCUCAGUGGUAGAGUGCUUGCCUACCAUAUAUGAGGCUCUGGGUUCAAUCCUCAGCCCCA
RNAcentral lists this transfer RNA (69 nucleotides) under Ictidomys tridecemlineatus (thirteen-lined ground squirrel). Its description in RNAcentral is "Spermophilus tridecemlineatus (thirteen-lined ground squirrel) tRNA". It matches the Rfam family "tRNA". Rfam says of the family: Transfer RNA (tRNA) molecules are approximately 80 nucleotides in length. Their secondary structure includes four short double-helical elements and three loops (D, anti-codon, and T loops). Further hydrogen bonds mediate the characteristic L-shaped molecular structure. tRNAs have two regions of fundamental functional importance: the anti-codon, which is responsible for specific mRNA codon recognition, and the 3' end, to which the tRNAs corresponding amino acid is attached (by aminoacyl-tRNA synthetases). tRNAs cope with the degeneracy of the genetic code in two manners: having more than one tRNA (with a specific anti-codon) for a particular amino acid; and 'wobble' base-pairing, i.e. permitting non-standard base-pairing at the 3rd anti-codon position. The record is from Rfam by way of RNAcentral. Lineage: Eukaryota; Metazoa; Chordata; Mammalia; Rodentia; Sciuridae.